Molecule: long non-coding RNA, 2459 nt
Filed under: Athene cunicularia (burrowing owl)
Lineage: Eukaryota; Metazoa; Chordata; Aves; Strigiformes; Strigidae
Description: lncRNA (ENSACUG00000001671.1)
Source: RNAcentral
GGUACAGUCAUUACAUUUAUAAUUAUGCCUUCUUUACAACUGGUAUAUAAAUGGUUUCUUUUCUCUUCUCUCACAGGUAUGGGACAGUGUUGUCUCCAGACCCAGAGGGCUGGCUCUGCAGCACCAACAGUUUCCACGCAGCAGUUGUCAAUGUGGGCACCCCCGGCUCUGUUCAACGUAACCUUCCAGGCCACUAAGGAGACAAUGAGGCUCUGGUGGGGACCUGCCUGUCUCAUGUGACGAACAGCUGCUUGCUGGGACUUGUACUGAGCUUCCAGGAUUCUGACUGCUCCACGUUCCUCACUGUGCUGCUGGCACUGCAGAGUUGAUGUCCAGUUUGGGACACUGUUUAGAGCCAAGCCUGUUACCAUUCUCUGUCCCCUUGGCAGACCAGAGAAACCAGGCUGGACCCCUGCUCAGAGGGGGCUCCGUGUGAGCAAGAGAGGGGUUUGGGGCUGUUCCUAGUCGCUCUGGUGGGAAAAAACACCUUGUUCCUCCUUUCUGUCUGGGAACUGGGUUGCUGCUGCUGGAAGCUGGGGAUGGUGCUGUGCAGACCCGGGGCCAGCAGCCUGGCAGAGCACUAGCAGAACCCCAGCAUCAUCCCGGGGCUGAGUGCUGCCCCGGGGUGGGCUGCUGGCAUCCCCGCAGCGGCUGUGCUCCCGGGAUGUAGGUGCUGCGUACAGGAGCGGUGUUGGGAGCGAUGGGCCGGCUGGACGACCACGCCAAGAGGAGGAUCGUGGAGCUGCGCAGGGCCGGGCUGAGCUUCCGCAAGAUCAAGAAGGUUCUGGAGCUGGACGACAUCCGGGUGACGCCGCAGGCCGUCUACCUCUUCCUCAAGCGGAAGAGUGUGGAGCCGGGGUUGGCAGCAGCUGGCUGGGACGGGGACCAGCCCUGGCCCCCGCUGCAGGGACAUGAGGCUGAGCCACCCAAGCUGCCGAGUGCCCGGCUGCCUGGGGUGCCUGGUGAGGGCCCUGUGGGUAGCCGGGCACCCUGCCCUGCUGGAAGCCAAGACACCAAGGAGAGCAUCCAGAUUGUCAGCAGGGCCUUGCUCUGCAAGGACGGUGGGCAGCUCGGGGAGGCCCUGCCCGUAGGACUCCCCCCUGGGAAUGGUGGUGAUGGCUCCAUAGGCACCCCCUCGGCUCUGGGGAGCUGCCCCACUUUGGGGGUCUCGUCCACCCCUCCACAGGCCCUGACCAGCCGAGGGCGGCUGGUUGCACCCUCAGCCAGGAACCCAGCUCUGAUGGUGAAGAAAAAGAUCAUGGACAAGGCUAUCCUCCUGCAGAAAAAGAGAACAAACACAAGCCUCACAUCAGCACGGGCAGCCCAGCUGCCAUCAAGCAGUAUCUUCCAGCAGAUGACUGAGCACAUGCUGGCAGCAUGCAGGGCAGCGUGGAGUUCCUGCGGAGCAGCGGCACAGGGGCUGGGUGGGCAUGAAGUGCAGCUCAGAGCAUGGUGAGGUCUAGAGGCCCACAACAAGGUCAAAGACACCAGCACUCAGACUCCUUUGCUGAACGCCACAAGUCCUGGCACUGAAAGUCUUGCUUGGGGCGAACCAGUGCUUCCCCCUGCUCCCAACUCACAUGCCAUUGCCGAAAAGCUGGAUGCUGUGCAGACAGAGAUCCAGAAGCUGAGCCAGGCCCUGCAGGCAGUGCUGGAGAGGCAGUGCCGCCUGGAGCGGCAGCAGGAGCAUCAGCAGCGGCUGCAGCAGGAGGUGCUGAUGACGCUGCAGCAGCUCAGCUCCACUGUGAGCCACGGGGCCGUGCCAGCGAACCAGCCCUGUGUCCCCUUCAGCAGCAUGGCCGAGCCCUCACCCACUGUGCCAAACUUCAGCCAGUUCAAGAUGGAGCUCAUCUGACCCCAGGCCACGCCGCUGUGCUUUAGCAGUGCCGCACUGGUGGCGGGAUGAAGCUGGGAAGAACCACCUUUCAGGGGCUGCCUGAGGAUUAUGUGGGGCACCCAGCAGAGAAGGUCCCUGGUGCCACAUGUUUUCAUCCCUGCUGACUGCAAGGGGCUGCCUGGCACAAGAGGCAGAGCAGUGCAGAGCUCAGGACUCACUUCUGCUGUGCUACCCAGCCUGGCUGGCACUGGAGCUGGCUGGUGGCCCGUGGACUUCAGCAGCAUAGACAGGCUCCCUGCAAGCAGAAGAUGCAACUAAGAGAGGCACAACAGGUAGGUGGGUCUCAAAGCAAAGGCAAGGCUUCCUCUCCCAAGGGUCAGUGCUGUGACGAGCAAUCACAGAAACGCUUUGUGCCCUCCCUCUGCAGAGCCUUGUUCAGUAAAACUAUAUACACCAUGGUUCAGAAACAGUGUGGGAUCUCUUUCUUCAUUUUACCUACCCCUUGCCCUACCAGUGAGCAGGCUGGAUCUGUCAUGGGUGCUGUCACCGUGCGCGGAGCUGUGCAGGGUGUUCAUGAGGUGAGACUACCACUCCGCACACAAGGGAUCCUACUGGAGGCCUG